This 515-nucleotide ribosomal RNA is filed under the name uncultured bacterium. RNAcentral describes it as "partial 16S ribosomal RNA". It matches the Rfam family "Bacterial small subunit ribosomal RNA", at positions 28 to 523 of the family's 1533-position model. The record is from RNAcentral.
GACGAACGCUGGCGGCGUGCCUAAUACAUGCAAGUCGAGCGAUGUUUAAAGAUAGCUUGCUAUUUUUAUGAAGAGCGGCGAACGGGUGAGUAACGCGUGGGAAAUCUGCCGAGUAGCGGGGGACAACGUUUGGAAACGGACGCUAAUACCGCAUAACAAUGAGAAUCGCAUGAUUCUUAUUUGAAAGAAGCAAUUGCUUCACUACUUGAUGAUCCCGGGUUGUAUUAGCUAGUUGGUAGUGUAAAGGACUACCAAGGCGAUGAUACAUAGCCGACCUGAGAGGGUGAUCGGCCACACUGGGACUGAGACACGGCCCAGACUCCUACGGGAGGCAGCAGUAGGGAAUCUUCGGCAAUGGGGGCAACCCUGACCGAGCAACGCCGCGUGAGUGAAGAAGGUUUUCGGAUCGUGAAACUCUGUUGUUAGAGAAGAACGUUAAGUAGAGUGGAAAAUUACUUAAGUGACGGUAUCUAACCAGAAAGGGACGGCUAACUACGUGCCAGCAGCCGCGGUAA